RNAcentral lists this ribosomal RNA (486 nucleotides) under uncultured bacterium. Its description in RNAcentral is "partial 16S ribosomal RNA". It matches the Rfam family "Bacterial small subunit ribosomal RNA", at positions 28 to 507 of the family's 1533-position model. The record is from RNAcentral.
GAUGAACGCUAGCGGCAGGCUUAACACAUGCAAGUCGAGGGGCAGCGCGGGAUAGCAAUAUCCUGGCGGCGACCGGCGGAAGGGUGCGUAACGCGUGAGCGACAUGCCCGUUGCCCGGGGACAACCGGUGGAAACGCCGACUAAUCCCCGAUGGGAUAUUGUGCCGCAUGGCACGAUAUUGAAAGUUACGGCGGCGACGGAUUGGCUCGCGUCCGAUUAGCUGGUUGGCGGGGUAACGGCCCACCAAGGCUGCGAUCGGUAGGGGUUCUGAGAGGAAGGCCCCCCACAAUGGGACUGAGACACGGCCCAUACUCCUACGGGAGGCAGCAGUGAGGAAUAUUGGUCAAUGGGCGGAAGCCUGAACCAGCCAUGCCGCGUGCGGGAAGGAGGCCCUAUGGGCUGUGAACCGCUUUUGCCUGGGGGCAAUAAGGGCGUCGCGCACGUCCGAUGGGAGUACCAGGCGAAUAAGCAUCGGCUAACUCCGUG